UGGAGCUGAAAUCAGUCGAAGAUACCAGCUGGCUGCAACUGUUUAUUAAAAACACAGCACUGUGCAAACACGAAAGUGGACGUAUACGGUGUGACGCCUGCCCGGUGCCGGAAGGUUAAUUGAUGGGGUUAGCGCAAGCGAAGCUCUUGAUCGAAGCCCCGGUAAACGGCGGCCGUAACUAUAACGGUCCUAAGGUAGCGAAAUUCCUUGUCGGGUAAGUUCCGACCUGCACGAAUGGCGUAAUGAUGGCCAGGCUGUCUCCACCCGAGACUCAGUGAAAUUGAACUCGCUGUGAAGAUGCAGUGUACCCGCGGCAAGACGGAAAGACCCCGUGAACCUUUACUAUAGCUUGACACUGAACAUUGAGCCUUGAUGUGUAGGAUAGGUGGGAGGCUUUGAAGUGUGGACGCCAGUCUGCAUGGAGCCGACCUUGAAAUACCACCCUUUAAUGUUUGAUGUUCUAACGUUGACCCGUAAUCCGGGUUGCGGACAGUGUCUGGUGGGUAGUUUGACUGGGGCGGUCUCCUCCUAAAGAGUAACGGAGGAGCACGAAGGUUGGCUAAUCCUGGUCGGACAUCAGGAGGUUAGUGCAAUGGCAUAAGCCAGCUUGACUGCGAGCGUGACGGCGCGAGCAGGUGCGAAAGCAGGUCAUAGUGAUCCGGUGGUUCUGAAUGGAAGGGCCAUCGCUCAACGGAUAAAAGGUACUCCGGGGAUAACAGGCUGAUACCGCCCAAGAGUUCAUAUCGACGGCGGUGUUUGGCACCUCGAUGUCGGCUCAUCACAUCCUGGGGCUGAAGUAGGUCCCAAGGGUAUGGCUGUUUGCCAUUUAAAGUGGUACGCGAGCUGGGUUUAGAACGUCGUGAGACAGUUCGGUCCCUAUCUGCCGUGGGCGCUGGAGAACUGAGGGGGGCUGCUCCUAGUACGAGAGGACCGGAGUGGACGCAUCACUGGUGUUCGGGUUGUCAUGCCAAUGGCACUGCCCGGUAGCUAAAUGCGGAAGAGAUAAGUGCUGAAAGCAUCUAAGCACGAAACUUGCCCCGAGAUGAGUUCUCCCUGACUCCUUGAGAGUCCUGAAGGAACGUUGAAGACGACGACGUUGAUAGGCCGGGUGUGUAAGCGCAGCGAUGCGUUGAGCUAACCGGUACUAAUGAACCGUGAGGCUUAACCUU
Molecule: ribosomal RNA, 1169 nt
Filed under: Escherichia coli 1-176-05_S4_C2
Lineage: Bacteria; Pseudomonadati; Pseudomonadota; Gammaproteobacteria; Enterobacterales; Enterobacteriaceae
Description: bacterial LSU rRNA
Rfam family: Bacterial large subunit ribosomal RNA
Source: RNAcentral